AUGCGAUAAGUAAUGUGAAUUGCAGAAUUCAGUGAAUCAUCGAAUCUUUGAACGCACCUUGCGCUCCUUGGUAUUCCGAGGAGCAUGCCUGUUUGAGUGUCAUUAAAUUAUCAACCUUUCUUGGAUUUUCUUAAUCUUAGAGAAUGUUGGACUUGGGGGUUUGCGAGUGCUCUUGAGCACUAGCUCCUCUUAAAUGUAUUAGCUGGAACGUCUCCUCAGACUGUCCCAUGGUGUGAUAAUUAUCUGCGCCAUAGUUCAGACUGACUUGUGUAGGGACUUUGCUUAUAACUGUCCUCUGGACAAAGGCACCUGUGUCUUUCUUUGACAACUUGACCUCAAAUCAGGUAGGACUACCCGCUGAACUUAA
RNAcentral lists this unclassified non-coding RNA (367 nucleotides) under uncultured Agaricomycetes. Its description in RNAcentral is "partial contains 5.8S ribosomal RNA, internal transcribed spacer 2, and large subunit ribosomal RNA". The stretch from base 1 to 102 matches the Rfam family "5.8S ribosomal RNA", at positions 53 to 154 of the family's 154-position model. The record is from RNAcentral. Lineage: Eukaryota; Fungi; Basidiomycota; Agaricomycetes.